UACGGAGGGUGCAAGCGUUAAUCGGAAUUACUGGGCGUAAAGCGUGCGCAGGCGGUUUGUUAAGUCCGUUGUGAAAGCCCCGAGCUCAACUUGGGAAUUGCAGUGGAUACUGGCAGGCUGGAGUACGGUAGAGGAAGGUGGAAUUCCCGGUGUAGCAGUGAAAUGCGUAGAUAUCAGGAGGAACACCGACGGCGCAGGCAGCGUCCUGGCCGCUAGCUGACACUGAGGCACGAAAGCUGGGGGGAGCAAACAGG
RNAcentral lists this ribosomal RNA (254 nucleotides) under uncultured bacterium. RNAcentral's name for it is "partial 16S ribosomal RNA". It matches the Rfam family "Bacterial small subunit ribosomal RNA", at positions 524 to 776 of the family's 1533-position model. The record is from RNAcentral.